ACGACGUAGGCGGUGCAGCAAGUCAGGGGUGCAAGCUCCAGGCCUAACCUGGAAAUUGCCUCUGAAACUACUGUGCUUGAGGAUCAGAGGGGAAACUGGAAUUCACGGUGUAGCGGUGAAAUGCGUAGAUAUCGUGGAGAACACCCGUGGCGAAGGCGGGUUUCUGGCUGAUUUCUGACGCUGAGGUGCGAAAAGCUAGGGGAGCGAACGGGAUUAGAUACCCCGGUAGUCCUAGCCGUAAACGAUGGGUACUAGGUGUGGGGAUUAACAUCUCCGUGCCGACGCCAACGCAUUAAGUACCCGCCUGGGACUACGGCCGCAAGGUUAAA
RNAcentral lists this ribosomal RNA (329 nucleotides) under uncultured bacterium. RNAcentral describes it as "bacterial SSU rRNA". It matches the Rfam family "Bacterial small subunit ribosomal RNA", at positions 566 to 898 of the family's 1533-position model. The record is from RNAcentral.